Molecule: long non-coding RNA, 1065 nt
Organism: Syngnathoides biaculeatus (alligator pipefish)
Lineage: Eukaryota; Metazoa; Chordata; Actinopteri; Syngnathiformes; Syngnathidae
Exons: 2
Source: RefSeq, a predicted model, not a curated record
AUCAGUUGCCACGUCCAUCCGCCCGUGUAAAUAUGUAGCAUGCGUUAUCCACCAUAGACACGAAGGAGAUUUUCAAAACUUGACCUUUGUUCCAAAGCCUCAACCACCGCUGUCAAAGACAAUUCCACAGUCCAGAAUCGGCCCGUCGGGGUGGGGGAGAGGGGUCCGAUCCAGCCCGUGAGAACAGAAGUCAUUCACUUGUGAAAUUUUUAAAUCGAAGUAACUGUUAACUGCUAACGUUGUCCACUGGAGGGCGCCAUAACGACUUUUUUAAUGGCCCCUUACCACUUAAACAGGCUUCGGAAGUUGGCUGCGACUCCGAAUUUGACGCCUAAUGUGGAUGCACUUAUGGAGGCUAAAAGAUGCCCAAUUUCACGAGGAAAGCAAACCCAUAUCACAUCAAAGGUUUCUCUACAAAAUUUUCACAAAUGAAUACCAGCUUAGGAAAUAUAUUUAGAGACUGAAUAUUGGAAAACAUCUUUCAGGGUUCAUCUUAAACAGCUUCAAUUCAAAAGACGUUGCUUUGGUGGAACAACCUGUAUUCAGCGGCGACAGAGUGAGUAUAUUGGCAGAAGGAUGCUGAGGAUGGAGCUGCCAGGCAAAAGAGCGAGAGGAAGACCAAAGAGAAGGUUGAUGGAUGUGGUGAGGGAAGACGUGAGGGCAGUUGGGGUUAGAGAGGAGGAUGCAGGAGAAGGCUAAGAUGGAAAAAGAUGACACGCAGUGGCGACCCCUAACGGCACAAGCCAAAAGGAAAAAAAGAAGACUGUACUGUAUUUCUUGACCAUAAUUUUACCUGCUUUUGACAAGUCGCAGUUCUCUUUGCACUUGCUGGUCUUCCUCACUGACAUGCUAGACUGCUGCAUUAGCAUCCAGUCUAUGUGGAUGCAAGCAUCAAUGGUAAUUUUCUGUUUCUUUUUCUAUGAAUGCGCCGACUGUAUUAUGAGAUAAAUUGUCUUCCGCCUUCUUGGCCAGACCACCUUUGAAAAACAGAUUUGAAAUUAAAUUGUUUUUUCUGGUUAAAGAAAGGAUUGGAUUAAAGAAUUAAAGGUGAACUGCUCCAGAUGA